This 158-nucleotide ribosomal RNA is filed under the name uncultured Saccharomycetales. RNAcentral's name for it is "5.8S ribosomal RNA". It matches the Rfam family "5.8S ribosomal RNA". From Rfam's summary of the family: 5.8S ribosomal RNA (5.8S rRNA) is a component of the large subunit of the eukaryotic ribosome. It is transcribed by RNA polymerase I as part of the 45S precursor that also contains 18S and 28S rRNA. Lineage: Eukaryota; Fungi; Ascomycota; Saccharomycetes. The record is from RNAcentral.
AACUUUCAACAACGGAUCUCUUGGUUCUCGCAUCGAUGAAGAACGCAGCGAAAUGCGAUACGUAAUAUGAAUUGCAGAUUUUCGCGAAUCAUCGAAUCUUUGAACGCACAUUGCGCCCUGUGGUAUUCCACAGGGCAUGCCUGUUUGAGCGUCAUUUC